AAGUCGUAACAAGGUUUCCGUAGGUGAACCUGCGGUUGGAUUAUCAUGUUAAUACUUGUUUACCAAUAUCAACCAAUUGUGAACUGUAACGUCCCUAUUAUACUCGAAAGGGUAUAGUAGACAAUACCAAUCUACUAGUAGUCACUAGUCGUCUUGCGAUACUUCGGUGUCACGAGAUUGAUUAUGUGAUGAAAGUUAUUCACCAAUUUUAACCCUAUAACUAUUUGAUUGUCUAAUCUUCAUAACCUUUUGAAACCUUUUUGGUUUCUCAAGAUUUACGAAAUAUUGAACAACUCUUAGCAAUGGAUAUCUUGGGUCAU
Molecule: unclassified non-coding RNA, 320 nt
Filed under: fungal sp.
Lineage: Eukaryota; Fungi
Description: partial internal transcribed spacer region
Source: RNAcentral